This 583-nucleotide ribosomal RNA is filed under the name uncultured bacterium. RNAcentral describes it as "bacterial SSU rRNA". It matches the Rfam family "Bacterial small subunit ribosomal RNA", at positions 338 to 916 of the family's 1533-position model. The record is from RNAcentral.
CCUACGGGAGGCAGCAGUGGGGAAUUUUGGACAAUGGGCGCAAGCCUGAUCCAGCCAUGCCGCGUGCGGGAAGAAGGCCUUCGGGUUGUAAACCGCUUUUGUCAGGGAAGAAAUCUUCUGAGUUAAUACCUCGGGAGGAUGACGGUACCUGAAGAAUAAGCACCGGCUAACUACGUGCCAGCAGCCGCGGUAAUACGUAGGGUGCGAGCGUUAAUCGGAAUUACUGGGCGUAAAGCGUGCGCAGGCGGUCUUGCAAGACAGGUGUGAAAUCCCCGGGCUUAACCUGGGAACUGCACUUGUGACUGCAAGGCUGGAGUACGGCAGAGGGGGAUGGAAUUCCGCGUGUAGCAGUGAAAUGCGUAGAUAUGCGGAGGAACACCGAUGGCGAAGGCAAUCCCCUGGGCCUGUACUGACGCUCAUGCACGAAAGCGUGGGGAGCAAACAGGAUUAGAUACCCUGGUAGUCCACGCCCUAAACGAUGUCAACUGGUUGUUGGACGGCUUGCUGUUCAGUAACGAGCUAACGCGUGAAGUUGACCGCCUGGGGAUACGGCCGCAAGGUUGAAACUCAAAGGAAUUGACGG